RNAcentral lists this ribosomal RNA (428 nucleotides) under Aeromonas sp. E181. RNAcentral's name for it is "bacterial SSU rRNA". It matches the Rfam family "Bacterial small subunit ribosomal RNA", at positions 353 to 772 of the family's 1533-position model. Lineage: Bacteria; Pseudomonadati; Pseudomonadota; Gammaproteobacteria; Aeromonadales; Aeromonadaceae. The record is from RNAcentral.
GGUGGGGAAUAUUGCACAAUGGGGGAAACCCUGUAUGCAGCCAUGCCGCGUGUGUGAAGAAGGCCUUCGGGUUGUAAAGCACUUUCAGCGAGGAGGAAAGGUUGGUAGCGAAUAACUGCCAGCUGUGACGUUACUCGCAGAAGAAGCACCGGCUAACUCCGUGCCAGCAGCCGCGGUAAUACGGAGGGUGCAAGCGUUAAUCGGAAUUACUGGGCGUAAAGCGCACGCAGGCGGUUGGAUAAGUUAGAUGUGAAAGCCCCGGGCUCAACCUGGGAAUUGCAUUUAAAACUGUCCAGCUAGAGUCUUGUAGAGGGGGGUAGAAUUCCAGGUGUAGCGGUGAAAUGCGUAGAGAUCUGGAGGAAUACCGGUGGCGAAGGCGGCCCCCUGGACAAAGACUGACGCUCAGGUGCGAAAGCGUGGGGAGCAAA